CCUACGGGAGGCAGCAGUAGGGAAUAUUGCUCAAUGGGGGAAACCCUGAAGCAGCAACGCCGCGUGGAGGAUGACACUUUUCGGAGCGUAAACUCCUUUUCUUAGGAAAGAAUUAUGACGGUACCUAAGGAAUAAGCACCGGCUAACUCCGUGCCAGCAGCCGCGGUAAUACGGGGGGUGCAAGCGUUACUCGGAAUCACUGGGCGUAAAGGACGCGUAGGCGGAUUAUCAAGUCUCUUGUGAAAUUUAACGGCUUAACCGUUAAACUGCUUGGGAAACUGAUAAUCUAGAGUAAGGGAGAGGCAGAUGGAAUUCUUGGUGUAGGGGUAAAAUCCGUAGAGAUCAAGAAGAAUACUUAUUGCGAAGGCGAUCUGCUAGAACUUAACUGACGCUAAUGCGUGAAAGCGUGGGGAGCAAACAGGAUUAGAUACCCCUGUAGUC
This 441-nucleotide ribosomal RNA is filed under the name uncultured Campylobacter sp. RNAcentral's name for it is "bacterial SSU rRNA". It matches the Rfam family "Bacterial small subunit ribosomal RNA", at positions 338 to 795 of the family's 1533-position model. Lineage: Bacteria; Pseudomonadati; Campylobacterota; Epsilonproteobacteria; Campylobacterales; Campylobacteraceae. The record is from RNAcentral.